Nothobranchius furzeri (turquoise killifish) is the source of this 503-nucleotide long non-coding RNA. RefSeq lists it as uncharacterized. The record is from RefSeq and is a predicted model, not a curated record. NCBI's taxonomy places the organism in Eukaryota, Metazoa, Chordata, Actinopteri, Cyprinodontiformes, Nothobranchiidae.
UUGGCGUAAAAUGACCACUAGCUUACAGGUAAAAACGUGAACUCACGAAGAUCAGAUUGGAGUUUUAACACCGAGCUCGGAUCUCGGAGAGUUACCAUGGCAACAGUAGCCAGGUGAAGACGCACGCAUGCUCACCAAAAGACUCAAAGGUGACUUUCUCUGCAAUGUUCGAGUUAGAGGAGGAGUUUUGAUCCACACCGUCCUUCAACAACAGCCAGCUGACUACAGGAGAUGGUUUUACCAUUAAGGCUGAAGAUGUAGAGCAGCACAGCUCUGAUCUUGUCGUAUUUGGAGUACGGGUGGAGCAGCACAGGCAGCAGAGUCCUCAUGGGAUCCUUCACCUUCAUCCCAUCAGCGUCAGAUCCUACGGCCAGGUCCUGCUCAGAACAUCACAGAAAUUAUCUUCAGAUCUGACGAGCUGAAGGUCGGACUCGGCUACAGAGCAGAACACAGAUGUUAUUUUUGCGCAGCUCACAUCUCAAAUUAAACCCGACUGAAGUGCA